Molecule: ribosomal RNA, 401 nt
Filed under: uncultured bacterium
Lineage: Bacteria
Description: partial 16S ribosomal RNA
Rfam family: Bacterial small subunit ribosomal RNA
Source: RNAcentral
CCUACGGGUGGCAGCAGUGGGGAAUAUUGCGCAAUGGGGGCAACCCUGACGCAGCAACGCCGCGUGGAUGAAGAAGGCCUUCGGGUUGUAAAGAUCUUUAAUCGGGGACGAAUGUUGCCGGUACCCGAAGAAUAAGCACCGGCUAACUACGUGCCAGCAGCCGCGGUAAAAGGUAGGGAGCAAGCGUUAGCCGGAUUUACUGGGUGUAAGGGGCGUGUAGGCGGGCAUGAAAGUCAGAUUUGACAUCUGGGGGCUUAACCCACAAACUGCUUUUGAAACUGCGUGUCUUGUGUGAGGGGGCGGCAGGCGGAAUUCCCAGUGUAGCGGUGAAAUGCGUAGAUAUUGGGAGGAACACCAGUGGCGAAGGCGGCCUGCUGGACAUUAACUGACGCUGAUGCGCG